CACCAGACUCCUACGGGAGGCAGCAGUGGGGGAUAUUGCACAAUGGGGGGAACCCUGAUGCAGCGACGCCGCGUGGGUGAAGAAGCGCCUCGGCGCGUAAAGCCCUGUCAGCAGGGAAGAAAAUGACGGUACCUGAAGAAGAAGCCCCGGCUAACUACGUGCCAGCAGCCGCGGUAAUACGUAGGGGGCAAGCGUUAUCCGGAUUUACUGGGUGUAAAGGGAGCGUAGACGGCAGUGCAAGUCCGGAGUGAAAGUCCGGGGCUCAACCCUGGGACUGCUCUGGAAACUGUAAAGCUGGAGUGCGGGAGGGGCAGGCGGAAUUCCUGGUGUAGCGGUGAAAUGCGUAGAUAUCAGGAGGAACACCGGCGGCGAAGGCGGCCUGCUGGACCGUAACUGACGUUGAGGCUCGAAAGCGUGGGGAGCAAACAGGAUUAGAUACCCCUGUA
RNAcentral lists this ribosomal RNA (446 nucleotides) under uncultured bacterium. RNAcentral describes it as "bacterial SSU rRNA". It matches the Rfam family "Bacterial small subunit ribosomal RNA", at positions 329 to 792 of the family's 1533-position model. The record is from RNAcentral.